UGGGGAAUCUUAGACAAUGGGGGCAACCCUGAUCUAGCCAUGCCGCGUGAGUGAUGAAGGCCUUAGGGUUGUAAAGCUCUUUCAGCUGGGAAGAUAAUGACGGUACCAGCAGAAGAAGCCCCGGCUAACUCCGUGCCAGCAGCCGCGGUAAUACGGAGGGGGCUAGCGUUGUUCGGAAUUACUGGGCGUAAAGCGCACGUAGGCGGACUGGAAAGUUGGGGGUGAAAUCCCGGGGCUCAACCUCGGAACCGCCUUCAAAACUAUCAGUCUGGAGUUCGAGAGAGGUGAGUGGAAUUCCGAGUGUAGAGGUGAAAUUCGUAGAUAUUCGGAGGAACACCAGUGGCGAAGGCGGCUCACUGGCUCGAUACUGACGCUGAGGUGCGAAAGCGUGGGGAGCAAACA
RNAcentral lists this ribosomal RNA (402 nucleotides) under uncultured bacterium. Its description in RNAcentral is "partial 16S ribosomal RNA". It matches the Rfam family "Bacterial small subunit ribosomal RNA", at positions 355 to 774 of the family's 1533-position model. The record is from RNAcentral.